UCGAGGUUGUCAGCCAGAGCAGAUGAGCGGGGCUGUGCUGGAGGCUUCAUCACGCCUCCAGGUGACCUCAGACACCAGAUAACCGCCUGCUUGAUGGGAGACAGGAGGGCGGUUUGUCACCAAGAGAUUUAGGCAGCGUUACGCUACAAAGGAACAGAGGGUUGGCCCCUGUGGACGUGGUUGGAGAAGUGGGACGAACUACAAGAAGCCGCCUUGGUCCCGUCCCAUGGACAGCUGCGUCUUUGGGCAGUUCUCCAGCCACAGUCCCUGGUCCGGGAUCUGCCCGUCCCUGCCCUGUGGGCAGCUCUGCUCUGCAGCGGGUUGGCAGUGACGGAGUGAAGGUGGGAGGGGGAAGAGAGGGGAUGAGGAGCGUGGGUACUGCUGCAGUUCCCACCCGGGCAGUGCUUGUUCUCGGCAGUACUGAAAUCCGCAUCGGCAGGAGCUGGGUUGCUCUGGGAGCAUCUGGAUCCAUGGUCCCUUCCGGAGCGGAGCAGCAGCCACGUGCUCUGGGGUCUGGGAUCAGCAGGCUGUGGGCCAUCUCCAAACUGGUGCCAGGCAGCACGGCCCCGCGUGUCUUACAGGGUGAGUGUUCCGCAAUCACUUGAGCUUUAAGAGAUUAUUAUUUUUGGGGUGGCCUCAAACUCCCUGGGCUGUAAAAAGCUCCAUGUUUGAGAAUCAGCGACAUUAUCUCAGAUCCCAACCCAAACAAAGGGGGAUUUAGGCUCGCUAGUCUCCUGCUUCCAUCCCCCACUGUGCUCUGUGUCAUUUUAUCCAGUUAGCAGCAAUCAGGUCCUGCGGCCCAGGAGACAUCAGUGGCGUUUCAUUGCUGUGCAUCAGCCAGCACAUCCUGCAGAAGCGGGAGGGGAUGUCAGGUUGGUCAUGGUGUCCGUGCUCUGAAAAUGCAGCUGGUUCCAGUGCGGGUCUGUGCAGCGCUCUGCUCACAUCGCAGAGCACGUCUGGUGCAUGCUCCAUCCAGGAGGCAGCUUGUGCCUCAUUGCACGUGCCUGCAGGGCCGUGUGCUCGCUGCUCCACACGAGAAUAGUGCUUGGGCCAUGCUUGCAUGCAUGUGUGCUGCCAGCAUCAUGCAGAUCCCUUCCUCAUUGCUUGCUCUGGAGUUCAGCUCCGGUCUCGCUGCCAGCCUGCACCCCUGCAAAAACGGCUGUGCCCAGGCAUGGGGGGGUUACCGUAUCCCCCAGCAGAUCCCCACAGCCCUGCCACACACAGCCCUGCCCCACGGCAGACCCCCACGGCAGAGCCUCUGCCCCACCAGCCUCCGUCUCCCUUUGGCCGGAGGGAGUCAGGUUACGCUCCCCAUCCCUGCGAGUGAAAGAACCCACCUGUGUCUGCGGGGCCUGUUUGGGAUUCCUGGGAAACUUUAACCUCUAUUAAUACCGCUAAAUUAUUUCUUCAUAUGGCAAAGUACUUAUGUAAACCGAUCCCCUCCCGCCUUCCCCUCCUGGCUCGGAGGAGGCAGCACUCGCUCAGAUGGAUCUACCUGCUCUCGGGGGGCUUUCAAACCCUCCACAUUCCUCUGCGGCACUGCUUCUUGUUGCAGGAGGACGUGCGCUUGCUGGAAGCGAGCACGUGAUGGGAAAGGGGGGAGAGAAAGAAGAAGGAAGGGAGGAUUGAGAUCACCAAAGUAAUUGGCUCGGAGGCCUCUGGAGCAGCAGCAGGUUGGGGCGUACAUUUGUCUGUCUCUCCGUCAAGUUGUGCCGAGCCCAUGUCUGCCUCGGACUUCCCCAGAGCUGGAGUAAAUUAGGAGUAGGCUCACCGGGGUCAAGUGGGCUUAGUUGUCAUUUACACCAACACCUUUUCAUACAUUACGCCAGCUUCCAGUGCUGCCAGACGGGUGCGAAGGGACCUUCGUGGAAAUGAGAACCAGGCCCCGGAGGCUGUUUUGCCAGGGCAGCACCCGAUAUCCCCAGCCACGAGCAUUCAGAUCAUGGGACUACCCUGAAAUAAUGCCAAUUUAAACCUUUUUUUUUUUUUUUUCCUGGUCUUACGGAUUCUACCCUUGGCUGCAAAGCCUAAAAAUGUUCUUCUUUAAAUGUGAACAAAUAAAUGAAUGAUGAAACGUGUCAUGAAAUCACGGGACUCCAGCAGAUGGGGCUCAAAGAAAGGAAUGCCAAAAAAGGAGGAAACUGACGGUGCUGCUGGGUGCCACUCCAGGCAAGAUCACACCUUUCCCAUGGGCAGGACGUCUCGCUGCAUUUUGCCUUUCUCCUGGCUGCCACUUGGGUGACAAUUCUUGGUUUUCAGGCACGUACAGCCUGGCCAAAGCUGUCAGGCAAACAGUCCUGAGACCCACUCAGGACUGGCUCCACUGCAGGGCAGCCAGAGUUGGCCUUCAACCUAGUGGAAGCCCAGAGCCACAAGUAGUGUAGUACUCUCACAAAGGACAUUGGCUUUUCAAACCCAAGAGCAGAAGAAGAUGGAAAAACGAGUGAAAAAUUCGGCAAGGUUUUAACCCUGCGCUCUCCCAACAGGUGUUUUCUUUGGCUUGGCUUUACAGCCAGAGCUGAGAUUUGAAAUUCCACCCAAACUUGGAAAUUCAAAACCCAUUUUCCACUUCUGCAAUCACUCGUUCUGCAAAGCAGAGGAGAAGAGACUUGCAAAACCUUUUGACUUGAGGUUUGCAGCAGGCCAGAAGUCAGCCUUUGGGGGGCUCACAGUUGGUCUGAGAAGAGGAGAACUUCUGUGUCCCCAUAAUUCAGCUGUGCAGAGCUUCUCACUGAAUUACCCUUGUGUAAGACAACCAAUGCAGUCCGUGUUAAGAGUCAUGCCAGAAAGAAGGCUUCUCUUAGCCUCCACAAUGUGUGGUCGUAUGCGGUAAUGCAAAAUUAGUGCGAGAAUAUGGGACUUUAGGAAAGCCAGCUGUGUUGUCGGGGCUUGGUCUGCUGGUUGGCUUCAGCCCGAAGAAAGAGUUCAUUGCCAGCAUCCGCAGGCGACAGGGAAAGUCUGAUCUCUGUGCUAUAUUUCAGCAAUGCAAAAAGCUGGAUAGAUGCUUUUGUUUCAGUUUACAUGCCCUAUUCCAAGUGAAUGAAAAAGGCCACUCAAACCAGAGCCCCUCUGCCUUCUGCAUGUGUUUUCUUUAAGUCUGACUGAAUCUGUGUUCCCGCAUUGCUCCACCUCCUACCAACAACAGUGCGGUCAGUGGAGAGGGAAGUUGCUGAGAAUGGUCCCUGCUUUGUCCAGAUGCCAAAUCAAUGCAUCUCGUCCUGCCCUGCUCCCGGCACUGAGGGCAGAACAUUGCUGAGAGCGGGCUGGAGAAAACUGAGGGAUGUCCUACAGGUGAGGAAAGGAACAGCAACGGGUCUGAGGGACCUGCGACUGCCCCGUGCAGCACGUGAGUAUGGGCUGGAGCGGCCGCCCUGGGCACUGCGAGCCGCUUUGGGAUUGCUGCUUUGAGAUCAGGGCUUUCUGGAAUGGGUAUUUACCCAGCGCAGGGCAUCGGGUUAAGUCUGGACAAAUGGAGACACUGGAAUUACUGAGUAAAAUGUCCUGGCCUGUCUUCUGCAGGAGGUCAUCUAGAUGAUCUGUUUGUCCCUCCUGGCCUUUAAAUCUACUAAUCUAUUUUCCCUUCCAGGAAAUAUAACUACGUUCUGAGAACAACAGCCCCUUAGGAAAAAAAAAAUAAGGAAAGAAAGCACGCCUUUGAAAAACAACAGCAAAGAAAAAAACCCUUCAACUAUAAAAUAAACUAAGGUACAAGAUGCAAUUAACAAUGCACAAACAGCAGAGCCUGGAAUGUAAAUUGUAUUUAAAUAGGGCUGUGAAGAAUGUUUCAGUCCCCUAAAUGGCUUCUCUCUCCUGCUGCCUUGAACCUCCAAUCAAGCCCUGCCUGGGAGUAAUUUGGUGCUGGAAAUUGUUGCCACACGAACAGCUGAAGGCUGGCAGGGUCACCGGCCCCCCGUGUCACACCCUGUCAUUUUAGAUUAAGAUAUGCAAAGGCGACACGGCUGCGAACUUUCCCUUUGCUGCUGUGGCUGCGUCCAUCCCCUCGGCUGUAAUGAGAGGAAGGCGUAAUUGGAGUCAACUGCUUGAUUAUGAUAAUUGCUACUGUCUGGGGGAAGAAACAUUUGAGUCCCAGAGCUUGAUCCGCACCGCACCUUUAGGGUGAUUGCUGUCUGUUUGCCGGCAGAUGGGCCCUGCAGAGAGCAUCCCUUGGCCCCGCGCCGGCCCCUGACCCCAACCCGGCCACUUGUUGGCUCCCGAUCCCGCAGGGUCAGGGGGCGUUGGGCUGCUCUCUGCCUCCCAGCGGAGCGUCGCUCCUGAAGGAUUUAUCCCCUCCGAGGGAAAGGGCCUUUUGGAAAUAUAUCCCCAGCUCUUCGCGGCAGAGAUGAGGUGCCGUAUAUUUUCCGCUGGGAUAUUUAUCGCUUUCAUUGUAUGUCCCUGCAGCAAUCUGUGGGAAAUGCCUCCUGGCAGCUUGGCGGUCAGUCCGCCAGCAGGGAUGGCCCCGGGCUCGGGGCAGAGGGGUGGCAAUGAGGAGACGAGCGCUCGGUGCUCGGAGCACCUGGCAGGGCUCGGUGCCAGCACCUCCCAGUGACUCUGUCUCUUUGCAUCGGUGCCGGUAACCUGCCCAGCAGCGGGGUGAGCACAGAGGCACGUAAAGCCCAUGUGUGUAAUUAAGGUGGCAAGAGGCAUAUCAUUAAUUAACGGCUAUUAUUUGUUAAUAUCAAGCCUUAAGUGCAAAGCUCAACUCUAGCUGUGAAGCAGUAAGCACAGCCUGAGCGACAAUAGUAACCAGCCAACGAAGUAAUUGGGUAGUUAUUUCCGCGAUAUCUUAAAAGUUUAACAAGAUUUUCUUUUCUAAAACGUUCACAUUCCAAGGCGUGGAGGGGAAAGCACUGCCUGCACGGGGGGAACGAUGUAAAAAUCAUUGAAAACAGAGCAGGGCUGCAGGUGCCGGGGUGGGUUUUCUUCUGAGCACGGAGCUGUGCCCCGUCAGCAGCCAGGCGUGCAGGUUGGGUCUGUGCCAUGCUGGUCGUGCGCAGGGCGGGUGGGUAGGGGAGGCACAGGCAGCUCGUUCUUAUUCUGCUACGUUUUAGAAAGCCAGCUCGUUUGAACGGGUACGAGUUCCCUCUUUGUUACUAACGAGGUGCCUUUCUGCGGUGUCCUGGUGGGCUCUGUGCUGGCAGAGGGAUCGUGGUGAGCACCAGGUGGGUGUCCCAGCACCAGGGUGAGGCACAGACGCAUCCCCGUGCAGUUUGAUAAGAGAGGAAGACGUUUAAUCUGCUUUCCAGGGUAGAUUAAGAACCCCGUAGACUGUAGCUAUGCAACAGCGUGCGUCUGACAGUGCAGGGCUCUGGGCAAAGGUGUAGCUGUUGUGAUAAAACAACUGCCUGAAUUUCAUUAACAAAACAGCGUGCCAAAGUGUCAUUAAGCAACGGAGGGCUCUAAAUAACCCUGUGACUGCUUGCCAGGCGGUGUGUGAGUCAGGAGGAGACCGCUGCAGCUGUACCUGUGUACCCACGUACCUAAGGGCAGAGACAGAAUCCAGCGGGGUCUGACGCUCACCUGAAGGGCCGGACCUGCAGCUCAGACUGCUGUUCUGCUUAGAUCUUACUUCCACAAAAAGUAAUCAGGUCGCUUUGCAAGCAGGUGUGUUAACUUAAAUCUGCAGGAGAAGAGCAUUUGCUGUGAACACGGCUCGUAUCUGUGCAGAUAGCGUUGGCAGGAGCUCUGCCUGGCUUCCCGCCUGGCUGGAGGCUUGUGUGUACCUAGGAAAUGGCUUGCCAGCUCUAACCUAUUCAUUCAAAGUCAGCCUUCAGUUAGAGCUCACACCCUUUCCUCCAGAAAAGAUUCAUGUGCUGUUACUCAUUUACUACUACGGCCUGUUUCUGGCAUCGCCCUGGAACACGGAACAGCCGGCUGGAGGGGCAGGCGGCCCCAGCUGCUGCAGGGAGCUGCCCUCGUGGCACUUAGCGCGAUGACUCGGGACCCCACGACUCGGGUCUGCGACACUACUGACUCUAUUAAUUGAUGGGAUAACUCGUCCUUUGGGAGAGCUCCUUCCUAAUCUCCAUUAGUUAGAGAUUGCUUUAUCCUUUGCAGCAAGGAAUUUUCAUCCAUUUACUCUGUGAGCUUUCUUAAAGUUUAUCCCUGUGAUUCUGGAUAUCCUUUAUUUCAGUUUGUCUCUUUCCUUACUCUUUGUUCCAAACCCAUUGCACCUCAGCCUCAGGAACGUCCUGGGGAGUAAGCAGAGUCGGGUCUGCAGGUGAAUUCUCCCUCCACCUAUAAAUACAGAUUCUUUUGACAGUUUUGUUUUAUUUCACCGAAAAUUGCCAAAAUACACUCAGAGCCUGUUCUCUCACUGUAUUUUCUUUUUACAUAGGAAAUGCCAAGGGCAGCUGACAAAAACUUCUUGUAUAAUUGCAGCUUUAUUUUGCCAAAUUCUGAGCCGGCAUUUGCUGCCAGCAGUCCCACCUCUUCCAUCCACGAGCUGGUGACAUUGAUGGAGCUGCAGCUGUUCCCUGGACGAGGUGGGCCGCCUGCAGCCCUCGCCCCACUCUUCCCACCCCACUGCCUCCCGCCCUGGGGUCUGCUCCAGCGCAGGGAGGUCUGGCACUCUUGAACCUGAGGUCAAAAACAAGAGGGAGGGAAAGAAUGGCCUUCAGGCCAGAGGAAGAAACCAGGGCAACCAGGCUCUUAACGUGAUAAAAGGGCUUUAUCUCAAAGCACUUAAACAAAACACACAAGCCUGAGAGAAGAGGCUCUGUCAAGUAUCCGCCGGGGACAUGGGGAAAUUGCAAAUCCCCGCAGGACAGAGGGGCUCUUUCUUCACAGUGUGCAGAGUCUGGAGCUGGGGCCGGGCAGGUGAUGGGCACUGGGGAAGGGGCACAGGGGGGGAUUUCCCAUUUGCAGUGGUGCACGGGCGCAGAUCAGACUGUGAGCAGCUGUUAGAGAACAGAUCAAGGGCACAGGGAGCGGGCAGCAGCGCUGGAAAGGGGCAGGAGAGAACGGGAGAUGGGGGACAUCCAGCAGCAGGUGGGCACAGUCCCAUCCUCUGCCUUUGGGGAGUCAGUGUAAAUCACUGCGGCCCCUCUGUGCUUGGUGGAUGGAUGGGCACAGUUUACAGGAGUUGGAGGGGAGGCUUGGGGCUUGCCGGAUACUUACAGAAUGUUACAGGGAGGACUGUGCCGUGGAGAGGAGAGGAGAGGUCUCUGGGCUGUUCCCAGGUGCAUGGGCACAGAGCUGCACACACCCUCCCGGGGUCUCUGGGCUGUGGGUCCCCGCCCAUCCCCAGCUGAUCUGCUUUCCCAAGGGGCUGAGGCAGCUUUGCUUAUGGUACCUGCUCCAAAGGGACGGGCUGUUCGCUCUGGCUUGUCUUGUCCCUCAUCCCUUUGGGACUCAGCCCCAUCCCUCCCCAUUUCUCCCUGACACGCAAUGCUUUGUGCCAGCAAUCUCCACCUCUGGGGAGAAGCCCUGCCCUGGCCGGGUGCCACUCUCUCUCUGGCUCCAUGUUCUUCAGCCUUUGGUGUGGGGCACGUCCUCAUCCCCUGCGGGUGCCCACAGUGUCCUUUCCCUGCCAUGGCUCAGUGAGGACCUCGCGGAGCUCCCAGCCAUGAAUUUCCCCUGGCACACCACUGCCAGGCUGUUAUUGCUGCGCGCUCCCUCCUGACUCCAUCUGUCUGCAUGGUGCUACCGCUCCGUGCCAAGAGGGCUCCGGGACCGCUGGGGUCACGGCUGCCCCAUUACGGGGCGAGAUUUAUCAUUGGCAGGUGUGCUGCGGGAUGGUAUAUUAUCCAGGAUUAUGAACUGUAACAGGAUAAUCUCUCUAAUGUAAUUCAAGCUCUCGACAUGGCUUAUGGCUCCUUAAUGUACCUCAGACUGAAGAAUUACAAGAACAUUUUCCCCCCUCCCUACCUUGUCAGCUCCUAAAUGAUUUAGGCAAUCGCCUGAAGCCAGAUCUUGGCCUCCAGUCAUAACUCAGAGCAGUUCAGUAAAUAUGAUGGGGAAGGA
This is a long non-coding RNA of Numida meleagris (helmeted guineafowl), 7962 nucleotides long. RefSeq lists it as uncharacterized. Lineage: Eukaryota; Metazoa; Chordata; Aves; Galliformes; Numididae. The transcript has 3 exons. The record is from RefSeq and is a predicted model, not a curated record.